AUGGCUCAGGACGAACGCUGGCGGCGUGCCUAAUACAUGCAAGUCGAGCGGACAGAAGGGAGCUUGCUCCCGGAUGUUAGCGGCGGACGGGUGAGUAACACGUGGGUAACCUGCCUGUAAGACUGGGAUAACUCCGGGAAACCGGAGCUAAUACCGGAUAGUUCCUUGAACCGCAUGGUUCAAGGAUGAAAGACGGUUUCGGCUGUCACUUACAGAUGGACCCGCGGCGCAUUAGCUAGUUGGUGGGGUAAUGGCUCACCAAGGCGACGAUGCGUAGCCGACCUGAGAGGGUGAUCGGCCACACUGGGACUGAGACACGGCCCAGACUCCUACGGGAGGCAGCAGUAGGGAAUCUUCCGCAAUGGACGAAAGUCUGACGGAGCAACGCCGCGUGAGUGAUGAAGGUUUUCGGAUCGUAAAGCUCUGUUGUUAGGGAAGAACAAGUGCGAGAGUAACUGCUCGCACCUUGACGGUACCUAACCAGAAAGCCACGGCUAACUACGUGCCAGC
RNAcentral lists this ribosomal RNA (510 nucleotides) under Bacillus subtilis. RNAcentral describes it as "bacterial SSU rRNA". It matches the Rfam family "Bacterial small subunit ribosomal RNA", at positions 19 to 512 of the family's 1533-position model. Lineage: Bacteria; Bacillati; Bacillota; Bacilli; Caryophanales; Bacillaceae. The record is from RNAcentral.